RNAcentral lists this ribosomal RNA (399 nucleotides) under uncultured bacterium. Its description in RNAcentral is "partial 16S ribosomal RNA". It matches the Rfam family "Bacterial small subunit ribosomal RNA", at positions 338 to 735 of the family's 1533-position model. The record is from RNAcentral.
CCUACGGGAGGCAGCAGUGAGGAAUAUUGGUCAAUGGGCGCAAGCCUGAACCAGCCAAGCAGCGUGAAGGACGACGGCCCUAAGGGUUGUAAACUUCUUUUGUCAAGGGAUAAAGUGAGGCUCGAGUGCCUGACCGAGUGUACUUUAAGAAUAAGGAUCGGCUAACUCCGUGCCAGCAGCCGCGGUAAUAGGGAGGAUGCGAGCGUUAUCCGGAUUUAUUGGGUUAAAAGGGGGCGUAGAGGGGCUGUUAAGUCAGCGGUAAAAGCUCGGGGCUCAACCGCGGAGAGCCGUUGAAACUGGGUGUCUUGAGAAGUGUAGAGGUAGGCGGAAUGCGUAGUGUAGCGGUGAAAUGCUUAGAUAUUGCGAAGAACUCCGAUUGCGAAGGCAGCAUACCGGCGG